RNAcentral lists this long non-coding RNA (1294 nucleotides) under Triticum aestivum (bread wheat). Its description in RNAcentral is "long non-coding RNA (TAES_LNC024050)". The record is from RNAcentral. Lineage: Eukaryota; Viridiplantae; Streptophyta; Magnoliopsida; Poales; Poaceae.
ACAUCGAGUACGAGGAAACGUUGUUAUAUCUUAGCUCCAGAACAUGUGACAGCACAUGCAGCAGCCACUAGUUGAUGUACGCUCGUGCAAUGUUUGGAUACAAUCACAACUCUGAAUUUGGGCGUCAAUCAACAAUAAACUAAGAAUAUACAAGAGACCAAUAAAAUCACAAGUUCAUGCAUGAUAGUUCACAUCGUCACAUCAGUAUGUGGCUUGAAUGCUGGUUCGAGACAGUUCAUACCAGCCACGCACAAUAAAGAAGAAACUUGAAUGCUGGUGCUUCUGUCCCUUGGGAGUUCUACGGACGGUGUCAGGCCUGCUGGCGCUUCGCAUCGACGGCUUCCUUCAGCUUCCUCCCAAGCGCAAAGGCAAGAGGGGGUGGCACAGCGUUGCCAAUCUGCCUGUGCUUGCUCUGAAUGGUGCCCGAAAACUGGUAGCUGUCAGGAAAGCCCUGCAGACGUUGAUAGGUUCAAAUCAGAUUAUCUACCAGGCCUUACAACAAUAUUUAACACGUUUGACUAUUUGUUAUCAGAUGGGGAUGGAUGUAGAGCAGCUUAAGCUUACCUGAGAUCGCGCACAUUCACGGACCGUGAUAAUCCUAUCCUGGUCAGGGUGGAAGCACAUGCCAACCUUGCCCAUCGGCUGAGGAUCAGUCACAGACGUGGGGAAAUUGCCCUCCCAAUCUAACCUCCCAUACAGACCCUUCCACUGAUUGUGCCUUUUAGCGGUGUUAGGCAAGCACCAAGGUAUCAGGUCCACCAUUUGACCAGAAGAUAGCUUCACCUGCACAUGUAUGUUCGGGGAUUAACAUAUCACAAACACCAAAAAGGAUAUACUAUAGAUCAACAGAAACAGUGAAUGCAGCUACAGAGUAGGACAGUCUCAUUUACCUUCUCAUCUGGCAAGUCAUGCCAGUCACAGCCAGGUCGUUUGGGAAUAUGUUUGCAUCUUAUGAGAUUUAAUUCAUUCAUCUCCUUAGAUAUGUGAUCGUUCAAUGCAAUAGUGCUACCUCUGAUCUUCUUCUGAAACCAAGAGGUAGGCUCACCUCCAUACUGCAUUAAGAGAGGAAUUCACUAAAUAUGGGAAUCCAGAGCAGAAACAAAAGAAAAACUGAAUGGCCUUGGAAUAUUACCUCAAGUAUGAGUUUACUUGCACCAUUUUCCACUUUUGGCAAAUCCCCAAUUGUAUCUCUAACAGUUAUUGCACGGAAAGGUGCCCCACCAGCAGUGCUUUUGGCAGCUGCAUAGUAUUUGCCAUCAGGCAGUGUUAUUUUCAGUUCAGGGCUAGCAAACAC